This 253-nucleotide ribosomal RNA is filed under the name uncultured bacterium. Its description in RNAcentral is "partial 16S ribosomal RNA". It matches the Rfam family "Bacterial small subunit ribosomal RNA", at positions 524 to 776 of the family's 1533-position model. The record is from RNAcentral.
UACAGAGGGUGCAAGCGUUAAUCGGAAUUACUGGGCGUAAAGCGUGCGCAGGCGGUUGUGCAAGACAGAUGUGAAAUCCCCGGGCUUAACCUGGGAACUGCAUUUGUGACUGCACGGCUAGAGUGUGUCAGAGGGGGGUAGAAUUCCACGUGUAGCAGUGAAAUGCGUAGAGAUGUGGAGGAAUACCGAUGGCGAAGGCAGCCCCCUGGGAUAACACUGACGCUCAUGCACGAAAGCGUGGGGAGCAAACAGG